Molecule: long non-coding RNA, 1773 nt
Filed under: Homo sapiens (human)
Lineage: Eukaryota; Metazoa; Chordata; Mammalia; Primates; Hominidae
Description: non-protein coding lnc-TRAM1-1:1
Source: RNAcentral
GAAUAAAGGAAAUUAUUUGCAAUAUAUUUAUCAUAUAAAGAACUUGUAUUAAUCAAUAAAGACAGACAAUCCCGUAGCAAAUGAACAAGACACUUCACGAAAAUGAUAUUCCAAUGUCCAAUAAAUGUAUAUAAAAGUACUUUAUUUCCUUAUCAGAGAAAUGCAUACCAUUUCAAUGUUAUUACAAUUACAAUCUCACCAGAAUGGCUAGAAUUAAAAGGAUUGGCAACACAAAUGCAGAAGAUGCCAGCAACUGGAACUUUUUUUUUUCCCCAGAUGGAGUCUUGCUCUGUUACCCAGACUAGAGUGCAGUGGUGCUAUCUCAGCUCACUGCAACCUCCACCUCUCAGGUUCAAGCAAUUCUCCUGCCUCAGCCUCCCAAGUAGCUGAGAUUACAGGCACUCGCCACCACGCCCGGCUAAUUUUUGUAUUUUUAGUAGAGAUGGGGUUUCAUCAUGUUGGCCAGGCUGGUCUCGAACUGCUGACCUCAUGAUCUGCCCACCUCAGCCUCCCAAAGUGCUGGGAUUACAGGCAUGAGCCACAGCUCCCGGCAGCAACUGUAACUUUUGAUGCAGGAUUUUUCUUCUCGGUCACUUUGCAAACCGGGACCUCCGGCCAGCGAUGCCCCACCCGCGCCCUGCUCAGCCACGCUGGCAUGCCCCAGCUCGCCUGUGUUAUAGCUUCUAUCCGCGUUCGGCGGUUCCCAAGCUCUUGUACCCACGUUCGGCGGUUCCCAAGCUCUUGUACCCGCGUUCGGCAGUUCCCAAGCUCUUGUACCACGCCUGAGAAGAAUGAGGAUACGUUGGACAUUGAAGGGUGAAGAGGGCGGAGAAGAAUUUUAUUGAGCAAGGGAACAGCAAUUAGCGGAGAAGGGACUCUGGGGGGUGGUCGCCCACCCCCUUAGUCGGAUGGUUUUUUCCUCCCCUCGUGGCUGGGUCACGAGCUUUUUAUAGGCUUAGAAUAGGGGAGGGGCAGGUCAUAGGUAGUAUUGGAAAAGGCAACGCUUGAUCGGUUAAAACGCAUUAUUUAGAAAUAAUUAAUCAGGAAAGAGCGGGGGCAAAAAGGAACAGAAAUACUCAGCCUGUGUCGCGGGUUUCAUCUGGGACCAGCAGUUCAGUGUUUUUGGCUGGAAGGUGGGGUUUCACCCCAUCCUCCUGGGCAUUUAGCAGCCUCCAGCCGCUCUCACUUUCGUGUGCCAUGGACGAGAUGAUAAACUGAGAUUGUAGAGGAGUUGCAGUUCUUGGCAGUGACCAGGUCUAGAGAACGACCACUGAGGGGUUGCUUGCUCUGAUGGAAACGUUAUUCCUAGGCUUCAUUUCUGAAUAUGGAUGUCCCACUGCCAGCUUUGGGAAGCCUUCACCAUCUCUGCCUAUACAGAUGGACACACUCCCUGCCUGUGCUGCUGCUAGACUGUGCUUACACUUCCAUCACAGAAUUUAUUUGAUUGGGUUAUCAUGGCUUCUCUGCUGGAAUGGAAGCUACUUGGGAGCCUGGGGAAAUGCUUGGCUCAAAGCACUUCUGCACUUCUGAUGGUUGGAUGACUCCACUGAGACCCAAGACUUAAGACUCACCUGGUCCUAUAGCCCCCACCCAGAAGUGGACUCAGCACAUAAGAACCAUUUUCUACAUCUCUAUGAUUGCACCCCUGACCAAUCAGCAGCACCCAUUCCCUAGCCCCCAGCCCACCUAACUAUCUUGAAAAAACUCUAGCCUCCAAAUUUUCAGGGAAUCUGAUUUGAGUAAUAAAAUCAACCCAUCUGUUAUUAUUAGUCU